UCAUUCACUUUAUUUACAAUUAAAAUUAAUAAAAUAUAUGUUGAUAUCAUAAAAUCCCUAAAAAAUCAGAAUUUCCUUUUAUUCUCGGCUGAAGACGUCGUCUCCGUCGCAAACGAAGAAUCCCACUCGCUAACCCUAACUCGUAAGCAUUGCGUUUCUUUAAUCUGGUAAGUAAUGGGUUUGAUUGGGUUCUACCACUCUUUCUUUGGAAUUAGUUUGAUAGUUUAGGCAGAGUUACGCUACCAACAGGUGUUGUUAACUCUUGUUUCAUUAAUUCGAUUCGAAUCGUUUACUGGUUUGUGAUCUUCCUUCCUUGCUUUUUGAUAUAAUCAUGGAGAGCACAAAGGAUAGGGAUCUGUCUGGCAGAGUCUCCAUAAAACAACAAGUGCUUCCCUUUCUGUGUUCCACUUGCUUCAGUGUCAUUGGAUCAGUGAUUUUGAGCUUUGGAUUCUAAACUGUGAUUUGGGGAAAAGCAAGAGAGGAUUCAACCAGAACUGUAGCUGGCUAUCAGCAGUCACCUUUGUUGGUUGCACACACCAUAGAAGAUGAAGUCUCAUCAUUGAGUUGUGAUUGAUGCAAGUGGAGUACAUUGUACACUAAAAGAUAUGAUCCCCAGUAUUGUUUACGUAUAGCUGUAUUUGGUACAUUGAUUUUUAACUUAUAUUAUCAUUUAGUACAUCAAUACCUUGUAAAGAAGCUCUGCAACAUAAGCAAAAAUCAUUAGCAUUAUAGUGUAUAUAUCUAGUUCUUUGGUUA
This is a long non-coding RNA of Raphanus sativus (radish), 756 nucleotides long. RefSeq lists it as uncharacterized. The record is from RefSeq and is a predicted model, not a curated record. NCBI's taxonomy places the organism in Eukaryota, Viridiplantae, Streptophyta, Magnoliopsida, Brassicales, Brassicaceae. The transcript has 2 exons.